Molecule: long non-coding RNA, 1128 nt
Organism: Diospyros lotus (date-plum)
Lineage: Eukaryota; Viridiplantae; Streptophyta; Magnoliopsida; Ericales; Ebenaceae
Exons: 5
Source: RefSeq, a predicted model, not a curated record
CCCAAAUUUUUAACCCUAACCCACCCCCUCUCUCUCUGUGAACUAAUCCCGCCGUCGACCCAUUCGCCAUUGCCUUCGCCUCCUGUCGUCACCAUCGUCGCUACUUCUGCUUUCGUCUCCGGUCGUUGCCGCUGCUUUCGCCUCCAUUCGCCACCGCAACCAUUGUCGCUGCCAGCUUGAUCGGGAUCCGUCUCCGCCUUCACCGCUGUGAGAUUCGCUUCCGCCGCCUCAAAGUGGGUGCCACCAAGUCUAAGUGUCCCAAUACUAGAUUUGGUAGAUGUUGUUUUCCAGCUGCAAGAUGGGGGUUGGAUCAGGCGGAAGGCUUUCUGGGUGGCCAAACAGGUAUUACGGUUGGGAAUGGGUGAUGCCAUUGAUGAUUGGUUAAUUGAGAAAAUCCAACUUUUACGUAGGGGAACAGUGGUUGCUCAGGAAUCAGGCGAAUUGAGCAGGGAAACUUGUACUUGCGGAAAUCUUAAUAAUGGAAGUGUGGGGUGCUUAUUAUUUUCUCUCUGAUUCACAUUAGAUGCUUUGGCCUAAUGGAAUAUUCAUAACAAAACAUCCAAGGCGACAACGACCAACUGCCUCUGGAAAGACACCCCUACGUUCAACUGAUGGCCAACCCCCCAUAUCUGUAUCCUCACCUAAGAAAAUUGAGGAUGUCCACCAAUGGAAAAGCAACAACUAAAGGAAGCUGAGCGUCGUGCAAAAUUUGUAUAUGAACUAAUGAUUGAUAAUGCGCCAGCUGCUAUUGUGAGUCUUUUCGGUCGAAAAGAGCGUGAACAAUGUGCUAAGGAUCUCUACUACUUUAUUCAGGUGAUGUCAUUGUGAAAUGAUCUACCUAGAAUCGUGUCAUCACACUGGUUAUUGAUUGCCUGACCUAUGAACAUGUGAUCUUGAAAAAUGUCCCACCAAUUUAACAGAACAAAUUCUCUUUGCUUUUUCUUUAUUUAUUUCUAUGUUCCAAGUGGCUUAUUCUUGUGGCUUGAACUCAUUAAAAGUUUGAUCCCAAGCAAAUUUAUGCUAUGGUGGAAGAUAAUUGCAGGCAGGCCAGAAAAUCCAACAUGCAGUCAUUUACACUCCUACUGUUUACCUUUCAUCUAAAUGAAAAAUAACUUUCUCCUCUGUUCA